This is a long non-coding RNA of Meriones unguiculatus (Mongolian gerbil), 332 nucleotides long. RefSeq lists it as uncharacterized. NCBI's taxonomy places the organism in Eukaryota, Metazoa, Chordata, Mammalia, Rodentia, Muridae. The record is from RefSeq and is a predicted model, not a curated record. The transcript is spliced from 3 exons.
GGCCUGCUCUUUUCUGAAGGAAAAUGGAGACGUGGAUCUGGGAGAGAGGAAGAGUAGAUCUGGGGCAGAGGUACUGGGAUGACUGGAGAGACGGAAGAGUGUGGGAAAAGAAGCUGGAUACUUUAAAUGCUAAAUACCUCACCCCUGCACUUCCCAAGAGAUUUCUCAAGUUCAUCACCAAUCAGCAGUAACUAGACACUGCACUGGACCUGCCCUCAAAAUACCACCUUGUUUGCUGGAUGAGCUUCAAAACAGGACCAUCAGCAACCCACCAGAUAACACAACAGCUAGCCCUUGCAUCCUUGAGUCCUACUUACAUAUAAGCACCCCAC